UCUGUUCAGCGCUGGUCCUAUGCUAUCAACCCAAAACACGAAGAAGAAUAUAAAGAAAAAGAUUAAAAUACCGCCGUUCCAACUUCCAUCUUCAUCCAACCAUACAACCUUCAAACCAAACUUCCCCUUUGCAAUCUUCCCGUCAACCCCAAACUCCAUUUCAAGAUCCACAAUGAUGGAGACCGGUAAUGGCGGAUCAUCAGAAUCCGUAGCUUCAGAAUCACCAGCAUCAAUCUUAUCACGUUAUAGCUUCACAAUUUCACAACGUUUCCAGCAUUUUCUCGACAAAUCAACACCUCACAUGCUUUACCGUUGGAUCGCAUUCUGUUUCAUCGCAUUUAUAUAUGCUGUUCGAGUUUACUUCGUUCAAGGAUUCUACAUCGUCUCUUAUGGUCUUGGAAUUUACAUUCUUAACCUCCUCAUCGCUUUUCUUUCCCCUCAGGUUGACCCGGAGAUCCAAGAACUCACUGAUGGACCCACUUUGCCUACCCGUGGGUCCGAUGAGUUUCGCCCCUUUGUUCGUCGUCUUCCUGAGUUUAAAUUCUGGUACUCACUAACAAAAGCUUUCUGCAUAGCUUUUGUGAUGACAUUCUUUGAUGUGUUUGAUGUUCCUGUAUUUUGGCCUAUACUCCUCUUCUACUGGGUUGUUUUGUUCACACUCACCAUGAGAAGACAAAUACAUCAUAUGAUUAAAUACAGAUAUGUCCCGUUUUCUUUUGGGAAAAAGCGUUAUGACAAGAGGAGGUCUGCUGCAGAAGAAAGUGCUGCACUUGUGAGGGAUUGAUGUUUUAGUUAUAGGAGUGGUAGCUACAAAUUUUCUAGUGUCUGGUACUUGCACAUGAAAGAAUUGAUUGAUAUCCUAUUCACUCGAGCAAUCUUCGUAGCUGCAAAGAGAACUGAUCUAAUGGAAUCGAGCAGGCUGUUGGUGUUCUUUACAAUCCUCGUCACAUUGCAGAGGAAACAUCACGAUCUCCCUGUAGGCUGUAUCAAAUAGGAACCAUGAUUUCCAUUCAACAACGCCUUGUAUUGGGAUACACCACAGAUACAUGCUUUGCAUUUUUAGAUUUCCAUCUUCCCUGCACGUCGGUUUUUAGCUUGUGAAUCAUUCUAUUCGCUCAUCUUUGGAUUCACGGUACUUGAUGCGGGCCUGAUUUCAUGGGUUCUCUUUGGCAUUUUCAAUUCUUAGCUAUCCAAAAUCUUGGCCAACUUUUGGCAUUGGUUGUCUAUGUAGUUAAGACUGAACAUAGGAAAAAAAAAGGUGAUAAUGGAGUGGAUUAUUGUAUUUUAAAGACCAACAAACUUGGCUUAUUAUCCCUUUUAAGGACAUUCUUUAACACCAUAAAGAACCAAAAGGACUCGCUCAACUUGCUUAUGGUGUUUAUGCUAUCUCUCCUUCUAGAUUGUGCUUCCAUGUAACUAGCUGUAGCCUUGCUAUUAGCAUCUUCACAGGUAGGACAUUAGUGCUUGGCGAGAUAUUAGUACAAUCGUUGAGAUAGUCAUGCAAUGCGCUAUAGGUCACUUGCUUUUCUAAAUCUUGUGGUUCUCGGAGCUGAACGUAUCUUGUACAUGUGCGAAAGCAAUGAUCAGUUCGGUGGCAGAUUGAUAAAACCGUUGAAGCAUUGUUCAUGAAAAUGUUUGCCAAAACCGUUACGAUGUUAAGAACGAUACAAACAACAAUGAACAAAACAACGUUUGAUAAUGUAAACUAAGCAAAAAAGACACAAAGAUUUAAGGAGGUUCACCCAAUGAUGGCUACGUCCUCCGAGGUGUGUAGUUUCUGUUUAUAUUAUAUCAAAUGAGUAUAAACAACACUUACAAAUGAAGAAUUACAAUUGAGUAAGAGAUAAUAACAAAAGACUAUGUGUUUGACUUAGGGGUUGUGUUUGAUGUGUGAGUAUGAGAGCUCUAUAUAUAGUACUAGGUACAUGAAUGUCAAUAGCUCACUUGAAUACAGUAUUAAUAUAGAGUAAUGAAUAAUAUGAAAUAACUCCAAGAACUUGAAAAGUUGAAAAUCAGCAUCCCAUGCACAUCAGAGAAACCGCUCGACUGGAACAGAGAGCUCGGUCGAGCGAGCAUCAGACACAUUCUGGAUACAUUCUGUCUGACCGCUGGACCAACCAAUAAGGCUCGCUCGGUCGAGCGGGUAGGUCGAGCGACCAUUCUAUUCCUCUGACAGAAUUCUAAUCGAACAAACAUAAAUCAAGUCCUUUCUACUUCUUCACUAAUCUUCAUUAACACCAAUAAUUUCCAUGAAUACACUCCCACAUAAUUAUACCCUUUUGGAUUCCACAACUCAAGAGUCACACACAUGAAUACACACUUCAAUUGUGCACUCAAGUCACACAUGUGAUACCAUUCAUAACAGUUCACGCCAACAUUAAUCCAAAUCUCUUGCACAUAAUGCGUCGGUAUACCACUUAGGUAUGGGUAUAUCAUUCUCUUUGUUUCGAAGAUAUGAUUCAAUGGAUAUGCUGAACCAUAUACAAUGAGGUUUGACACAAAUAAUUUCUUUGGAAUUGACAACAUGAUGAUUUUCGGUGCAAAAUGUGUUUUGACAUAAGUGUAGGACCCCUUAUUUCUCGAAGUGUUGGUAUCUCUUUAUUUCAUGGAUCAUAUGCUGCAUAGGAUUCACAAUUUCAAUCGAUAGGUUAGUGUGAACAAUCGAACUUGGAAAACUCGGUUGCCAUAAAAUGAUAAUAAAAAUUGAACAUGGUGCUGCGGUCAAAGGAUGGUGGCCUUCAGAGGGGAGAUUUCUUCCCCACAAAAAAUGAAGAGAUAGUUGUGUUGCCGUUAUGAAAGCUACCAGUGGGAGACCCAAACUUGGGAUUAGAGCUGUUGGCCCAUUGUCUUUCCCACAUAAAAGCGGAGAACUGUGAGGGCCGAGGGGGUCAUUACAGAUAGUUGUGUCAUUAGCGGGUACUCGAGAUUUCGAGUACCCGUAAAGCCAGGUACUCGGUUAUUCGGGUGCCUAUUUUAACGGCCCGUGUCCCGGCAUAAUUUAUCUGGAUACUCAGAUAAAUCGGGUCGGGGCACCGGGUACCCAGACAAAUUCAAAUUAAAGAAAUUGGGUACUUGAAAGACUUAACAAGAUCACUGAUUAGUAAUUACAAAAGCGAGAGAAAGCAAUUGACAUGGAUAUGAGCUUUAUUAUUUUUUGUGUAAUUUAAAUUAAAAAAACAACCCACAUAUGAAAUCCUAAUAAAAUAUGAAAGCACGGUGUUUGGAGGGUGAGGGAAGAAUAAUAUGAGGAACUUGCCCUACUUUGGCUCAUUGUGGGGCUUAUAAUAACCAAAGACAGAGUAGCAAGUCUCUGCAGCAGUAAGCAACAAUAAGAAAACAGCAACCAGAAAGGAGAUCACAGCCCAAGGAUUGUAAAAGUAGCUGUGCUUCAUGCUAGCGCGCCAAGCAUUCCAUCUGUGAUUAUAAUACCUGUUUACUUCUUUAGACACCUUAGAUAGAUAGCUAUCAUUGAUGUCAAACACGACGUCCUGGCAGAGAUUGUUAAAUAUGUCAGCUACUUUAGCAUCAUUUCCAAGCCAAUACUCGAUUAUCCCACAGUAGUGAAGGUAAUUCACAUCCUGUGCUGAGUCGAUUAAGUUAUUCAUGAAAACUAGGUAAGCUGUAGUUUUGUUGGUGCAAUCAAGAUGGCUUUGCUCAAAUGCCACUAGGUUAAAGAACAAUGAUUUAGUCCCAUCAUGGACUAAUAAUCGAGGAAUAUGAAGUACUCCGUAUUCGAACUCUAUGUCCCAAAAACGGUCUGUCUUCCUCUUUUUAAACUUGAUACCAGACUCUUUUAAGGUCCGUGAUACUAUGUAUGAACUGAGUCCUUCGUUGAUCAGCCACUAAAUUUCUCCAAGGCCGUUUUCUAAACCUAUGUCUAGGAAGUGGUUCGAGACCUUUUCUGAGUAGACUCCUUCGAAAGACAUCAAGGCAAUGCAGUCCAGACUGGUCUGAUAAUGGAUCAAAUGGAACCAAGUUUUUGUGUAAAGACGAUUUCAAGUCCAUGUUCUCCCUAUUGAUCAAUGGCUCAUCAAUGGGUGACAAAGGAUCUGCAACAACAUUCUUUUGAUUUGGAUCACCUAAUUGUAGGGAAAUAAUUUUCUCCAAGACAAAUAACGGAAUCUGAUUCUCGAUCAUCAUCAUAUCACGUCUGAUAGAAUACAUCAUCAUAUCACGUCUGAUAGAAUACAUCAUCCCCCUCAUCGCGAAUAUAGGAUCAUUCCUCUCAUACCCAAGGAUUUUAAACCCUUCAGUAUACCCUCUAAAAAACUCGAGAAGAAAGCAUCCGUCUAGCAACAACAUUUCAACAAACUCGUUACUUGUGAGGCUCAACGGGCCUUCAUAACAAGCUCGAGCCUUCUCUUCGAGUUCUUGGAUAGUCUCGAUAUACAGCUUUAUACUCUGCCUCAUGCGCUUCAACAUAAUGUGUAAGGCCCUCCAUUUGUGGCGUUCCAUCAAGAGAAGGCAUCGCUUCCCUCCAUGGUAAGGCCCUAUAGAAACUACUUGAGGAACAUAAACCUUAUUCUCACCUAAUCCUUGAUCCCUCAAGAUAUGUGGGAUUCUGUAAAUACAGAUGUUAGACCAUGAACCAGCAACAUCAUCGUUACUUGCUCGUUCAAGCUUUUCUUUGAUGGA
Amaranthus tricolor (Joseph's coat) is the source of this 4635-nucleotide RNA transcript. It is a transcript of the gene named protein RER1A-like, with no coding region annotated. The transcript has 5 exons. Lineage: Eukaryota; Viridiplantae; Streptophyta; Magnoliopsida; Caryophyllales; Amaranthaceae. The record is from RefSeq and is a predicted model, not a curated record.